This 3811-nucleotide long non-coding RNA is filed under the name Homo sapiens (human). RNAcentral describes it as "HSALNT0368992". Lineage: Eukaryota; Metazoa; Chordata; Mammalia; Primates; Hominidae. The record is from RNAcentral.
GCAAAUGAUGCAGUCCUUACAGAUGGUGCUGUUGGGUUUUUUAGAAUGUUUUAAAACACUGAUGGAUUUGACCAUGAACUGAAUUUCCAGUCUCUUAGAUUCACCUCCAGCCACCCCUUGACGAUCUCCAAGGCAACUGGAGACAAGGAGCAGACCUUUUCUGCAAACUUAUGAUGAAUGAUUUCCUUUAAAAACUACUCGCAUAAUAAAAAUGUUUUGGUGUAAACUUGGCCAAGGGGAACUCUUGAAACUUUCAGUUUCUUUGCCUAACUCUGAGUUGCUUGAGUCACAUUUUUGCAUGGUUCUUGAUUGACUUUCUGGUGCUCUGCCUGGAGGUCUUUGCUUAUCUGUGAGUUGCCUGAGUCACAUUUUUACAUGGUUCUGGUGCUCUGCCUGCAGGUCAAGAAGGAGCCAGUAUCUCCAGGAGGAGUGAGAGAGUGCUCUGCCAGUGUGAAGUGUGAAUCCUUGAGAGGCUGUGGCAAGGGUCCAUGCCUGAAUGUGUAGAACAAGAACAGCUGGAGGCUGUGGCUUUCUCCAGGAAGAGGUUUCUAAAUCUGCCUCUUAGAAGAUAUCAGAAAGUUAAAGUUUCUCUUGCUGCCGCCGUGUAAGAAGGACCUUUUGCCUCCCACCAUGAUUCUAAGUCCUCCCCAGCCACGUGGAACUGUAAAGCAGCUACGGCUUAGAAAGGCUGAGGAACUUGCCUGAGGCUAUCCAGCUACUGAGAGAUAAACUGGGGUGUGAAUUCAGAGAGCUUGACUCCUGAGGCUCCACCUGUGCCUAUAAUUCCAGCAUGACACCUGGUAAUGGGCACUCAGUAUAUGCUUGUUGAUCUAAACUCAGUGUGUGUGUGUGUGUCUGUGUGUGUCUGUGUGUGUGUGUGUGUGUGUGUGUGUGUGUGUGGUCUUCCUCUCACAUCCAAAGCUACUAGCACUGAGGAAGUUGGGCAUGGUGUAGGAAAGAGAAAUCUUUGCUGUUAAAUCUCAUUUCCAGCAUAACUGUCAAUGGAGAGGUGGCAUGGAAGGGACAACCAGUUCGUGUACCAAAUUACUCUCAGCUUGCUUGUUGUCUUAGGCAUAUGUUCUGGGAGUGGCCAACACCUGUUUUACAUCUGUGUUAGUCUUUGCGGAAUAAAAAGCAAAUUAGGGUUUAAUGGGGACUAUUAAUCUUGUCACCUAAUUGAGUAGAUCUAAUAAAUCUUUUCAUUCAAAACCCAAUGGGAAUUUCUAGUUGGAAAUGAGUGUGGGGAAUAUUCAAUCUCAAAAAUAUUUUCAUACACAAAGAUUAUAUAUGAGUUUGUGAAAGAUGUUGAAUAUUCAAUGAAAUUUAAUGAGUAUGAAUUGAACACUUAUCCUGGGCCUAGAACUGUUGGCAGUUGCUUUUGAGAGUUACAGAGUACAUUUAUGGUAAUUACUGCACUUACGAAUUUUGCUAUGUGGUUUGGGAGUAUCUGAAGUAUCUUAUAGUAGGUCUCUAAACUGGUAAUAAUAAAAAGUUCAAAUAUAUUAUUUUGUUACACUCCACGAGGAUCAAACUUCAUCAUGACAUGAUUAUAAUUUGAAAUAUGAGUAAGAAAUACGUAGGGUCAUGAUCUCUAUAAGCCCAUUCUUUGCUUCUUAAUUAAAUUUUGCAGCUGAUAGAAACAUUGAAAGCAGAGCAUUAGCUUAUAAAUAAUUCAGAAAAUGGUUGGUAACUCCCAUAGUAUAUGUUUUAUGAGUUUUGUUUAAGAAGAGUCUAUUUCGUGUUAGGUAAAGUUGGCCAUUGUUUAGAAUAAAGACCUGCAUUACUUUCUAUUCUAAAUUAAACUGUUAAUGGGAGUGCUUGCAAAGGCCUUGGUGCUUUUUUUUCUGUUUAAUAGGAGCAACAUCACUUUGGAUCAAUUAUUUAAUUUCCUUAUGUCAGAGUUCUUUCAAUUUAAAGGAAAAUAUUUCCUUUCCUCAUUCCUUUUUCUCUGAGGAUGAACCAGACAUUGGAAGUUGUAGCCUGGGAUUGUACUGGAGCUCUCACUGUGGUUGCAUUCUUUCUUCACAUUCAGCGUCCUCCUUAAAGCACACAUUUUCACGUACAUCUAUUAAAUUACCUGGGAGAGAGUUCUAGACACUAUCAGUCAGUAAAUCCAGUUGUCUCAUUUUUCAGUUUUAGCUAUUGUUGCGGUCAUAUGCCAAGGCUUGUAUGAAUGAAGGGUCUAUAAAAAUAUCUGCUGUGGUGUGAUUUUUUUUAUCCUUGUAUGAGACCAUAGCAUGAGACAGUAGACUGGCAAAUUGGCAGGGCGAGGAGAGUGUUUGUGCUUACACGGGGCAAUGAAAAGAGUUUUGAUUCUUCUUUAGCUAAAUGUUAUAAAACUUUAAAGCUUACAUUUGAAUAAUCGUUGCAGAUGGGUUAGAUAAAAUCCAUCAACUCACAAUGUUUUUCCUGUUUCCAUUCACUAGUGAGUAACAAGGUUAAAAGAAGGAAUGUUCUAUAAAAUAAGAUAUAGAAUUUGGGUUAGGUUUACAAGUGAAGAGUUCCUCUUUGCCCUGCCCCCAAAUUAUUUUUAGGCCCCAGGCCUCUGAAGCCAAGGUAAUCUGCAGGGCAGCUUUCACAUUUUAUCACAAGUCAGUGGUCUCUCCUCUUCCUUGUCCCUCCUAUCUUGCCGGCAAAUGGCUCUGUGGGAAACCCAUUCUGCUUCCUGUUUAAACUGUAGAAACAAUUCAUUUAAUUCAAUAUCUAGCUUUUGAUUCUAUUUGCAAAAAUACAGUUGUAAAUAGUUCCAUUCAUUAGCCAAUUUUUUUUUUGGUCUGUUAAGCAUAUUUGGGUCAUUUUAUAGUUAACCUUGGCUGAGGGAGAGAAGUUCUUUGAAGCUCUUACUUACUUACUUGUGAAUUUUUGGGUCUGAUAUGGAGGCUUUGCAGGUCAGAAGCAUGGCUUGACUGACCCAAUGCCCAUUUCUGGCUCUCUUCAUCCUCGCUGACCUCUACAGUAGAGAAAGGAGAAGCUGAAUAUUCACUGCUCUAACCUCCCUUGAAGCAAGGGGUGGCCUUGUAACAGUUCUGGCCAAUGUGGCAUAAGCAGAAUUCUGCUGAGGUGGGUUUUGGGAACGGCUUUUGAUUUCCUAAUAAAAGAGGCCAGAACUGCAGGCACUAUUCUUUCCACCCCUCUUGGUCUUGAACAUGGCUACAAUGUCUGGAUCUAUAGCAGUCAGCUUGCAACUUUGAGACAAUAUGCCAAUCUAAAAAUGGUAGAGCAGAAUUAUAGAUGAACAGAUGAACCCUUGGUUUUUAUUAGAUCAUGGAGCCCCAUAUUAUACAGUACUGCUUCCCUUUAGACAUCAUACAUGAAAAAUAAAUCCCUUUGUGGUAGGUUUAAUACAAGGCCACAAAUUCUUUGACACUCCUCCCAGCAAAGUCUAAUUCACCCUCCCUUGAAUAUAGGCCAGCCUUACCCACUUGAUUCUAACUAGUAGAAUUCAGUAGAUGUGACACUGCAUGACUCUCCAUGCUAGGUUCACAAGUGAUGCGGUUUCUGCCUUUUUCUUCUCUCUGACAUGUGCCUUGGGAGCUUUGAGCUGACAUGUUAGAAGUCAGUCUACAUUGAAGCUGCCAUGCUGAAGAACUCAUGUGGGAGAACACACAGAAAUCGAGAUGCCUGAGGAGCCCCAGCUGUACCAGCCUCUAGCUCUCUGAGUCUUCUCAGCAAGAACUGUCAAACAUGAGAGUGAAGCAGCCUUCAGAUGACUCUGGCCCCAGUCUUCAAGUGCCCUAGCUGGUGCCAAGUGGAGCAGACAAGCUGCCACCCACCAAGCCCUUCCCAAAUUGCAGACUAGGAACAAAAUAAA